Molecule: non-coding RNA, 117 nt
Filed under: Pan paniscus (pygmy chimpanzee)
Lineage: Eukaryota; Metazoa; Chordata; Mammalia; Primates; Hominidae
Also listed under: 1 other name
Source: Rfam by way of RNAcentral
GCCGGGCAUGGUGGCUCAUGCCUGUAAUCCCAGAACUUUGGGAGGCCGAGGCAGGUGGAUCACCUGAGGUCAGGACUAUGAGACCAGCCUGACCAACAUGGUGAAACCCUGUCUCUA